RNAcentral lists this ribosomal RNA (253 nucleotides) under uncultured bacterium. RNAcentral's name for it is "partial 16S ribosomal RNA". It matches the Rfam family "Bacterial small subunit ribosomal RNA", at positions 524 to 776 of the family's 1533-position model. The record is from RNAcentral.
GACGUGGGGGGCCAGCGUUGUUCGGAAUUACUAGGUGUAAAGGGUUCGUAGGCGGUGCGGCAAGUUGGGAGUGAAAUCUCUGGGCUUAACCCAGAGGCUGCUUCCAAAACUGCUGUGCUUGAGUGUGGGAGAGGCGCGUGGAAUUGCAGGUGUAGCGGUGAAAUGCGUAGAUAUCUGCAGGAACACCCGUGGCGAAAGCGGCGAGCUGGAUCACAACUGACGCUGAGGCGCGAAAGCUAGGGGAGCAAACAGG